This 38200-nucleotide long non-coding RNA is filed under the name Citrus sinensis (sweet orange). RNAcentral's name for it is "long non-coding RNA (CSIN_LNC002808)". Lineage: Eukaryota; Viridiplantae; Streptophyta; Magnoliopsida; Sapindales; Rutaceae. The record is from RNAcentral.
GACCCCGAUAGAGUACACGGCGACGGGCAUAAGGGCUUUGAGCAUUUGGAUAAAGGAGACGGAGAGGUAAAUGUAAGCGGAGUUGGAGAGCCAGAGGCUGAGGGAAUACAAAGCGCCGAUGGGGACGACGGAGGAAAGGAAGAGACAGCGAGACAUGGUGACGGGUUCGACGAAUUUGAAGACUUUGAUGAGGAGGAAAGCGAGGGUGCCGCAAAAGAACAUGUGGAUCAUCGUUAGAGAGAUGGGGAACUGGUUAAUGGUAUUGCCCUUGCAUGGUUUAUUAUUACCACUUAUGCAUCUCAAACGGUAACGCCUUCCACAGGCUGCUCCGUUGCCCCACAAGCUUCCACAGGCUGCCCCGUUGUCCCACAAGCAUUCACCCACUGCGACAAACAAGUUCCCCGGUGGGAACUGUUCUUGUCCGUUGCCGUUGCACCUAGUUGCUGCAUGCCAAAAAAACAUUACUAUGAGCGUGCAUGUUUCGCCACGUUCAUGCAGAUUAAUUAAUGAUUAGCUGUACAUAUAUAUAUAUAAAUGAUUCAUGUAUAUGAUUUUUACUCACGUAGAUAUGGUGGAUGAUAAGCGGUAACAGUGCCAAAACCCGCGAACACGAAGCUUAAUUCUGUGCUUAAUAAACUUAAUAUGAUUGUAAACACUGAGAGUACCGCCAUAUGGUAAUUAAUCAGUGUGCAAAAUGAGGGACUUAAUAUUAAUUGGUUAGUUUAAUUUUGCUAGCUAUAUGAUAUAAGCUAAUUGUAAGCUGCCCUAUUUAUAGACAUGGAAUCUCGUCUCUUGAGUAUGAACGAAUUUAUUCAAGUUAGAUUUUAGUUAUCUUAUCGGCGUUGAUGGGCUAUUUCCAAAAGUUAAAAGGGUUCAUGUCUUAAGUUUGACAAUAAUUAAAAUCCCAAUUUUCUUCUAGAGGAAUGAUGUCAUGGAUUCUUGAUGAAGUGGACCACUUUAAUUUGAAAAGUAAUAUUUAACGGCCAGCUCCCUACGGCGCGUAUAUUAAGCUAUUAGUUGUUUGAUAAACAUUCAAGUAGUUAAACAAUUCUUAAUUUUUUUUUUACAGAACUCCAAUUGAAAUUAUAUUAUUUUGUAUUUGUCAAUUUUUAUCUUCAAAUAAUAUCUUUGUGAAACGACAAUUUUAUUUUUAUGAUGUCAGCGAAGUUCUAACAGUGUUAUAACGAAAGUGGACCAGUAAAAAAAAAUAUUAACUUCAAAUGGAGCGCUGUCAAAAAAAAAAUUUGUGUAUUUUUAAAAAAAAAUUAGAAAAAAAGAUGGUCGGUGGAUAAUUACCCUUAAUUAUAUUAAAGAACUAAAUUAUAUUUUUGGGAUAUAAUCAUGUUUUAUCUUUGUUUAUUUGAUAAUAUUCAAAUUAAAAAUCUGCAUUUUUUUAUUCAUAAUAAUUAGAGGAUUAUGUUUUUUUAAUAAAAAAGAAACAAAAAUGAUUACACCACGGUUUUCGCUUUUGUUUUUAUUACUUUUGUUUUCUUGGUGAUGUAAAAGGGAAGUAGCUGAGACAGAAAAAGACAGGAAUCGAGAGGAUUAGAGGUCAAAUUCUUUUCCAACCUACUAUACCUUAGGGCCCGUUCGGUAUUGUUUCUGAAUUUAUAUAUUUUGAGAAUAAAAAUAAAAAUAAUAUUUUGCAGUUGCUGUAUUUUGAAUUUAAGUAUGAUUUGAUAUCAUUUUUUAUGUCCUGUAUUUUAAAACUAAAAACAGUAAUAUGCGUUCAGUAAGCGAAAAUAAUAAAAAUAGAGAAUAUGCGUUGGGUAAUACUUUUUUCAAAAACAGUUUUUACUAUGCAUUUACGUCAUAUUUAUAGUUAUAAAAUAAUUAUUUAGCUAAUACAUACACAAAUACAACAUAAUAAUUUAAAAAAAUUAUUAUAAAAAAAAUUACAUGAUAAAGUUUUAGAAUUAACAUUAAUUAAAAAAAAAUUGCAUUAUUUUUACACCAUAAUUAAAAUAUAUAUUACAACACAUGAUUUAAACAAAAUAAUUAUAAAACCACCAAUCAUAAGGUCACAGCAUGCAACAAUAAUAAAUGUCAGUAUGGCUGCCAACUCAUAAGCUGGGGAUGGUCCAGUAUGUAAAUUCUUUCCAUCUUCAUCUGAAUCAGAGUCAGCAGCCUUGCUGCAUUUCCAGUCUUCAUCACUGUCAGCAUCUUCAACUUUCUACCAAAUGAGAACGUCCACUCGUAAAUUCAAUAGAACAACCACAUUUGCAUGAUUCAGAAUCCCUAAUUAAUGCUUCUAAUUUUGAAAUGCUUACCUAUUCUUUAUCAAUAUCAGCUAUACGCUUGAAACUAUGCCAAUGUAUGUCAUACUCAUAUUCACAUAAGAAAGCAUCAUCCCCUUGAUCAUUGGCCUUGGCAAAAUCUUUUGGAUUCAUGACAGAGCAAUGCCUGAUGAUGGAUUCCAUCUGCAGUGAUACGCAGUAUUAAAGUUACAAGCUUUAAUAUGAAAAUUCUUGCUUUUCUUGAAUAAGGAUCCUGAGUUCUAAGUAACUAAUAUUAAAGUUACAAGCUUUAAUAUGAAAAUUCUUGCUUUCUAUGCGGGCAAUAUUUUUGAAGUGACAGACAAUAAAUUCAAAUUGUGAAUUCCAUCCAAAGCAAUAAAUUGAAAUUACAGAUUGUUUGACUGAAUUCUAUCCAGGGCAAAACUUGAAAAAUCUUUAUUUCUCUCUAAUAACAAAAGCUCAAUUUGCCUAAAUUAUUUUCUCUGUAAAAAAAAUAUAUUUUUGGAGUGACAGGCAAUAAAUUCAACUUGUGCAUUAUCAACAAAAUGGAAUUUGUAGUAAAAUCAAUAUUAUGGCAAUGACUGUUGAUGCGAGAUUCUGGUCCUCCUCGUUCUACGACCAGGAGCUCUGCUCGAUCAACGUCACCACGAUCAGGAUCUCUCCUCGUAAAGCUUCUUCUCCAGAAGUUCCUACGUACACAGACAGGUCAGAGUACGCCCGUUGGUUCCCCGGCGCAAAUCCUCCGACGCUCAAGUCAGAAAUGAAGGUUUUGGGAAUCUAUGCCACGAAUCUUAUGGCUUCUUUUUAAUCUCAGUUCUUAGUGCUCUCUUUUCUUAGUUCUAAUAGCAAAAAGUCUAACCCUUUUACCUUCGUUGGCUACCUUUUUAUAGGUCCUCCUGACUCCAGACCUUCCCCUUAUUUGCGCUCGUUAUCCUCCCACCUCUCGGACGUGGAUGCUCCAUUUCUGUAAUCGUGGGUGGAUGCGUGGCCUUAGUGCCUUGAUUUUCGGAUUGCAGAGCCCGCCGCACCAAUUCUCGUUGACCGGGUCUCCUCGAUUAAAACCUUUAGCAGGAAUGCUCCAUGCUACAGCAGGAGCCCAGCCUCGUGGACGGCAUGCUCGCGGACGAGCAGAAUAUUUCUGCUCAUGCUCCCCGGUCACCAGUCUCUUACAGGACACACCUGUUCGCAGAACUCUGCCAUCAGAUAUCUGCUCAUCAUGUCUGGUCUCGUCGACGUACUUCUCCCAAACAAUGACAAUCGUGAACAAUAUCAUAUUUACAUGCUAUUAAAAACAAUAAAAAUCAUUGAAAUAAUUUCUGAAAAUUUUAAUUAAACAGAACAAAUACUGGCAAGUGACAGAUCCGGGAGAGCAACAGCGGCUGGGCGAAGACGGAGCAGUGGCUGAGCAAAGACGGAGCAGCAGCGGCUACGGCGGAGACAGAGUAGCAGCAAUGGCUGAGACAAAGUAGCGACAGCCGCUGGCACACCAAGAGAGAGUGGACCGGGAAAAAUAAGGAGAGAGAGAUGUUGGAUGAAGAUAAGGGGAGGGAGAGAGUGCAGAUUUGAUGCAACUGGAUCGAGAAAGCUGCGGGGGAAGAGAGAGCGGUAGUGAAGAGAAAAGGAGGAGGAGGGUCACGAUGUUGCUUUUGUUUUUUAAUUCAUUUUUAGGUUUAGUUUGUACUAUUUGGAGAACAUGUUUUCAGUUUGCUAGUUAUAAUAAUGAAUCCGGAUUUUGUGUUUUGUAAUUUGUUUUUUGAAAUUAAUCCACCGAACAUGUAUUAUAUGUGUAUUAUGAAAACGAAAAUGAAAACACUGAUUGGAAAAGGGUACCGAACAUGCCCUUAUAUUCUCUAGACCAAAAGUAAAGAGAAAUAAAAUAAAUAGGGUUUGCCUACCUUACGUUAAAUGUAAGGUACAAUCCUCUCUCCAGUAGUGGGUCCCAAUAAAACUCAUUUUUUAACUUUGUGAGAGGGUUGUACCUUACGUUUAACGUAAGGUAGCAGCUCCCAAAUAAAUAUAGUAAACGCAGAACAGAAUUGACCAACUUAAAAGGAAAAUAUUUUUCUUCAAAAAAAAAAAGGAAAAUAUUUUAAUAAGAUAUUUGUUAUGGGUCUCAGUGCAUAUUUAGUUGGAGUUCGGCAAUAGUCAUCAAAAUUUACUAAAUUUCAUAUAUUAUUUAAUUACAUUUUGAUUAAAGCUUUUGUUAAUCAAAUAAAUUAUUUUAUCUUUAUUAGUAAAAAUUUAAAUUCUUGAGAGUAGAGGUUGCGGAUCUUUUAAAUUGGCUAAAGUAUAUUUAAUUUGUUUUAUAAUAUUAUAUCAUUCAUUUCAUAAUAUAACUUUAAAACAUUAUUUAAAAAUAAUUUUUUAAUUUUUAACAGGAAAUUUUAUUGAUAACCAAAUAACACAAUACUUUUUUUUUAUAUGAACUCUAUUCGUUAAAGAUUCAAUAAUAAAAAAAAUUACUUACAUAAAUUUUAUUUUAAAAAAUUAUAUCAAAAUGAAGCCUUGUGACCAUAGCAAUACCAUCACCAACAUUAGCUAAAAGGCUUUUCUGAGGCCCAAAUAUGGUAUCGAGAAAGCCCAGUCCGCAUCUACAGCAGCAGCCCGCCACAUCCCGCAGUCUGAGAUAGAGCAAUGUACAUUAUCAAAAUGCUUUCUCAUGGAAUAAUUUUUGUUACAAGUUUUCGAUUACGCCUUUGUAAAUGCAUGCAAUCCUAAUGUUUACUCACUUUAGACUUGGAAGGAGACAAAGAUAUUGACAGAAAAUACAUGCAACAAUUUGGAUGGAUUAGAAGUAAAAAAAACAAUUUUUUUGUAAAUGGUGGAUCGAUGUUCUCAAGUCUCAACAAUAUUAAUAAUACCGGUUUGAGCUCCCAGGGGACCGUCAUAUAGAAUAGGAAUAGAUAUAUCAUAUUAAUAUUUAUGGGAGUAAAUUUUAAAAUUAGUGUCAAUAUAUUUUUAGACUGAUCUAUAAAUUCAUGUUUCAUCAGAAGAAAUGAGAGGAGAAGAGAGACAUGGAAAGGAGAAAAUCGUGGGAUGAAAAAAUGAGGGUGAAUAUUAAUUUUAUUGUCCAAAUUAACAUAAAAUUCAUUUCUUCUCCCCUUAUUGUUAAUUUUUUUUAAUGCUCUCAUCAUCUUCUCCCUCACAUUUCCUUUAACUUCUUUGAACCAAGCAUACUAGUAUUCAAAUUCCCAAAAGAUCUAAUAUCGAUAUCGUAAUAUAUAUGUAGACUAUAAUAAAAGAGAAUGAAAAUAUAUAACCUGUUAAAAGGUCAGCUACUGGUGUGUUUGUGUCCUCAACCACAAGCUAGUGGUAGUAAAUUUUCAAGUUGGUAUUGAUAAGUCUUUGGACUUCACUGCAAGAUAUGUACUUAAAUUACUAGUAAGCUUUACAUUGUAACCAAUUAAAUAAAAAAAUAAAAAUAUAACCUAUUGAUUCAAAAUGAAAACUCUAUUCCGGUAGUACUAUAAUAUGAAAAGUAUUGUUGUUUCGUGUGUUAUAGUAGCACUGUGACACAAACAGUGAUCUUAUUGCUAUCUUGGUGGCGUGUCUUCUUAGCAUUUAAAUAUCAAUGCAGUGCUCUUCUUAUAAAAUACAUUCGUGCUGAAAUUACAUUAAAUUAUAUUUAUAAAUUUAUUUAAAUGUUAUCAUUGUUUCUCUCUCUCUAACACACACGGGAUGUUGUGCAUUAGGGGUGGGCAAACCCAAUCUAACCCAAUUAAAAUUUGACGGGUUUAGCGAAUUAUUAUGGGUUAAUUGGGUCAAUUUUUUCGAACCCAAUCAACAAUUGGUUUGGGUUGGGUCAUAUAAAUAAUAAUAAUAAGAAUAAUAUAAGUCUCAAUUGUAAAAUCGUAAAAAUCAAAACGGCUAAUCUAUUUUUUAUCCUCUUUUUAUUUUUUUAUAAAAGAGAUUAUUUUGUUCUUGUAUCUAUUACUCUAAACUCUAACUCCAAAAUUGAAAUCACUCUCUUAAAUCUCAAUUCUCAAUCAACUAAGGUACUUUUCUAAUGUAUUCAUUUUAUUUUCUUUUAUUUUUCUUUAUCAAAUACUAUAAAAUGAAUAAAAUUUUCAUAAUAUAAUAUUUUUAUAUUUUAUUUCAAUAAGUUUUAUUUCAAUAUUCGUAUAUUUUUCUUUAUUUAAUUUUUAAUUUAAAUUUGACUUCAAAUCUUCAACCAAAUCAACCCAACCCAACCCGACAAUUUAAGGGUUGGAUUGAGCAUAUUUAUUUAAUUUGGUUGGGUUGAGAUCAUCUCAACCCAUUCAAUAAUGAGUUGGGUUGAAUUUUCACAAACUCUAUCCAACCCAACCCAUGCCCACCCAUGUGUGCAUUCGUCAUAAAUCUCGUUCUACUACUAUAUUAAUUGUAAAAAGAUAAAAAAAUUCUUGCUAACGAGCUAAUCCCUUUAUCAUGACUGCUCACUUGUUGGCAAAUAAACUUCAAAAACAAUCUCUCUAUACCUCUCUUUUUUAAUAUUUUCCUUAUAAAUUAGUUAUUUAAGUACUUUUAAACUCUAAAUAAAAAUGUAACUUUGAUUCAAAUAAAAGAUGGGAAUCAAUAGUAUGGAGAUUGAUAAGAAGAGUACGAGAAACAAGAAUCGUACCUGUAUUUGGGGUUUUAAGUGAGCGAGUGUAGGGAUGGCAAUGGAUUGGAUCUGACCCAAGAUCCACGUGAUCCAAAUCCAAUCGGAUCGGAUUUGGGUCGGUUUAAAAUGAAUUUGGAUCGGAUUUGGAUAUUGAUGUGCGGAUUUAAGACGGAUAUGGAGCAGGUCUGGAUUUAUCUUAAUAUCUAAAUUCAUAUCCAUAUCCACCCAUCUUUUAAUUUAAUUUUAUUUUAAAAGUUUCUUAACAAUUGUGCAAUUAUACUGAUAAUAAAUUUUAUUCAUAGCAUAUUAGUGGUAUUUACCAUGCAUUUAAACUCUUAAAACUUAAUGGUUAGUUUUGUAAAUUUAAAGGUCAGCCAGCCUUAAAGCAUGUGCAUGGAAUAUUCAAAUUGCAAGCCAAGUAAUACAACCUGCCAAUUUAUUUUAUUAUAUUGGCCAAAUAAUUUUUAAGGAAUAUAGUUAUUCAUAUAUUUAGUCAAAUAUUGUCAUAAUAAAAAUAAUAAAUGAUUGAAUAUAAAUCAUAUUUAAUUUAUAUGUCAUUAUCUAAUGUUAUAGGAAUGAGGGUUGGCGUGUCGUGAAUAUUAGAAUGAUGAAGGAGACAAUAGAAUAUUAGAUUGGUCUUACUCCUGCAAUUACUUUUAAAGAAUAUUUUAUUAUCUUAUUUGUUGUUUUGGUGUAAAAGUAUAAGCUACAAUAUUUAUUAUAUUUUGAGAAAAAUUAUAUAAUUUAUUUAUUAUCAAUACAUUUUAGCCUUCAAUUUUCAUUCUAAAAAAUUAUUACUUUUUAAUUGAUGAGUUUUAGAAUUCAUGACAAAUUUAGAGCAGAUUUGAAUUUUAAUUUUUUUUCGGAUUUGGAGCAGAUAUAGAUAUUUAUUUCUUUUUUGGAUCUGGAUAUGGAGCGAAAAAUAUGGAUUCAUGACGGAUCUAGAGCAGAUACGAAUCUUAAUUUUUAUUAUGGAUCUGGAUCUGGAGCAGAGUAGAUCCAACCCAUAUCUGCCCAUUGUCACCCCUAAGCGAGUGUGGAUUAGAACAACUGAACAUGGGCGGCGGUACUAGAAUUAAAGCAGGUGUAAAUUGAAAAUAGCUAUUAUGGAUUUUCUAACAUUAUUUAAAGGGUACACAUAAUAAAGGGCUUUCAAUAGAAUGUUAAGGGGUGCCAACCGCCAAAGCUGCACCCUUUUUCAUUAGAGUAAAACACUGGCCCUUAAUGUUUCGAUGAGGGCCCAAAUUCAUUCCACUAAUAAAGCCCAUUUCCCAACACCAGCAGCCACCCAAAAGCUGAGGCAUAACAAUUAUUUGAUUUCGAGUUACGUAUGUAUGUAUAAAUUAUCGUAUGUAUUUAUUUUAUUUUUUUUGGUGGCAAUCCUGACGUUUAAUUCUUACGUGCAUGGAAGGUGAUAAAGAUACUAAGAGAAAAUACACGGGACGAUUUUGAUUUAAAAGUAACAAACUUAUUUUGGUGCCUUGCCUGUUUUAUUGAAAGAGGUUGGUGCCUGCAACUAGGGGGAUGAUUUAGAAACUUUAUUAAUAGCUAGGGAGUGAUAUAAAUUUUAAAAUAUUGACCGUAAUGUCAAAAUUUGUUUUAAAUAAUUACCUCCACCCAAAUAUAAUUUUUUUUUUCUAAAAUGAAUAGGAAAUUAAAAGAAAAUUAUUUUUGAGUGGGGUCAGCUGCCCCCAAACCCUCGAAUGUACACGUGCCUCUGCCUACAACACAUCAUGAUUUCAUAUAUUGGUCUGGUUGUUUGUCAUCAUUUCACAUUGCUAUAACUUGUAGGAAAGGGAAGGGAAGCGAUAUCUCUCAUAGCUGCUAUAGUUAGCAGUUGCCAUGCUCUGCUGUACCGUACAUCCGCCUUGGCCGUACAGCAGUCUCUAGCUUCAAAACUUCCUAGGAAAAAGUCGCUUUUUGCCGCAAUGAAGUCACCCUGAGCAGACCGGAUGACAGCCCCCAGACUAAUCAUUCCCCUUGAGCUAGCUAUAGCAGCAUCGACAGAGCCAACUUAGAGCCAACUUAGAGCCAAAACAAACUUGUCAGAGAGACAAGACGAAACCAAACUUGCCAAAAGACAAGACAAAACAAAACUUGCCAAAAGACAAUGAAUAUAAAUCAUAUUUAAUUUAUAUGUCAUUAUCUAAUGUUAUAGGAAUGAGGGUUGGCGUGUCGUGAAUAUUAGAAUGAUGAAGGAGACAAUAGAAUAUUAGAUUGGUCUUACUCCUGCAAUUACUUUUAAAGAAUAUUUUAUUAUCUUAUUUGUUGUUUUGGUGUAAAAGUAUAAGCUACAAUAUUUAUUAUAUUUUGAGAAAAAUUAUAUAAUUUAUUUAUUAUCAAUACAUUUUAGCCUUCAAUUUUCAUUCUAAAAAAUUAUUACUUUUUAAUUGAUGAGUUUUAGAAUUCAUGACAAAUUUAGAGCAGAUUUGAAUUUUAAUUUUUUUUCGGAUUUGGAGCAGAUAUAGAUAUUUAUUUCUUUUUUGGAUCUGGAUAUGGAGCGAAAAAUAUGGAUUCAUGACGGAUCUAGAGCAGAUACGAAUCUUAAUUUUUAUUAUGGAUCUGGAUCUGGAGCAGAGUAGAUCCAACCCAUAUCUGCCCAUUGUCACCCCUAAGCGAGUGUGGAUUAGAACAACUGAACAUGGGCGGCGGUACUAGAAUUAAAGCAGGUGUAAAUUGAAAAUAGCUAUUAUGGAUUUUCUAACAUUAUUUAAAGGGUACACAUAAUAAAGGGCUUUCAAUAGAAUGUUAAGGGGUGCCAACCGCCAAAGCUGCACCCUUUUUCAUUAGAGUAAAACACUGGCCCUUAAUGUUUCGAUGAGGGCCCAAAUUCAUUCCACUAAUAAAGCCCAUUUCCCAACACCAGCAGCCACCCAAAAGCUGAGGCAUAACAAUUAUUUGAUUUCGAGUUACGUAUGUAUGUAUAAAUUAUCGUAUGUAUUUAUUUUAUUUUUUUUGGUGGCAAUCCUGACGUUUAAUUCUUACGUGCAUGGAAGGUGAUAAAGAUACUAAGAGAAAAUACACGGGACGAUUUUGAUUUAAAAGUAAUAAACUUAUUUUGGUGCCUUGCCUGUUUUAUUGAAAGAGGUUGGUGCCUGCAACUAGGGGGAUGAUUUAGAAACUUUAUUAAUAGCUAGGGAGUGAUAUAAAUUUUAAAAUAUUGACCGUAAUGUCAAAAUUUGUUUUAAAUAAUUACCUCCACCCAAAUAUAAUUUUUUUUUUCUAAAAUGAAUAGGAAAUUAAAAGAAAAUUAUUUUUGAGUGGGGUCAGCUGCCCCCAAACCCUCGAAUGUACACGUGCCUCUGCCUACAACACAUCAUGAUUUCAUAUAUUGGUCUGGUUGUUUGUCAUCAUUUCACAUUGCUAUAACUUGUAGGAAAGGGAAGGGAAGCGAUAUCUCUCAUAGCUGCUAUAGUUAGCAGUUGCCAUGCUUUCACAUUGUUAUAUAUAUACAUAUAGGAAUUUAGGGAUUGAUUGUAAGCAUGACAAGCAUAUAUAUAUAUAAUAGAGUAAAUAUCUAUAAAUGCAUAUAUACUACAAGACUCAAAAGAGUCUCAUGCGUAGAUAUGAAACUAAUUAAUUACGCUGUCGAUCAACAUACACACACCACAUAUAAUAGUGAUGAACAAUAAGUGGUUUGAAAUAUAAUAUACAGUAGUGCUACACAUCCUUUAUUUUUUAUUCUAAAAUGUUAUCCCAAAUAAUGUGUCAUUAGUUGAGUGGUUGAUAAUUAUUUACAAGAUCCAAGUGAAUUAAUUGUAUUAUCUCACCAACCAAUUAAUAAAUGACACAUCAUUUAAAAUAAUUUUUUAAGAUAAAAAAUUUAAGACGUGUAGCAUCACUCAUAUAAUAUUACGUCGCAAUCAGCAUUAAUCAUUACUUUGUCUUCCCAUCUUAAUUUUUAGUCGCACGGUUGGAUAUUUUUCAAGGCUUAUUAAUGAAUGACAGUUGAGGAGGGAACGCAACACCAAACGUAUACGCGUUGCCCGCGAAAGCUGUUUGAAGCGUGGUGCCGACACCAUGACGCAUCAUCGCUUCAUUUGAUCAAUUGCUUCGGCGUAUCACCUAGUUGUCAUACGUAGACUGUAAAUUGAUUUCGGGGGUUUGCUAAGUAGAGGUGUACAACGGCUGAAUGGUUACAAGAUUACGCAAGGUUUUCUUUAAAUAUAAGUAAUUUCAAUGUUUUCUAUCUUUUGCACUCAUAAAACACUACAUACGUGUUUGUGUUCGGUCGACCAUCUUUUAAAACAUAAAAUUCGUUUUACACUUUUACUCCCAAAAAAAGAAGGGAAACAUUUUUUUUUCUUCUUUUUCUUGUUUUGUCAUUGUAAGUCCUAAAUGAAGAACUCUCUUCUACCAUUUUCUCAAAAUAAUAAUAGUAACAUCAUCAUCAUCAAUAAUAAUAAUAGUAAUAGAAAUAUAUUUGUUAUUUAUGUUUUUGUACAUCAAUUAAACCAAAUAUGUAUAGUUUAUCAUUUUUCCUUAAACGAAUAAAAUUGAUAAGAUAACCUAAUUUAUUCUUAAAAUUAAAAUAAUCAAAAUAAUUAAAUAAUAAAAAUGAUUAACUAUUACUUCAAACUUAGUUAAUGAAAAUUACUCUAAUAAUAAUUCUUUAAAAUAUUCUUACCAAAUGUGUUUUACUUUUUCUUACUUUUAGGAUUAUUUUUAAAAAAUGAUAUUGAACGUAUUUUUAAAUUUUAAAAUAAUAUUUUUAUUCUCUUUUUUUUUUAUAAAAAUAGCAAUUUGAAAAUGAUACCGAAUGGGCUCUUUAAUUUCCAUGUACAAGCGAAUUCUGAUGUAUGGUAAUUUUUUACUCAAAAAUCUUGAUAAAUUUAUGAUAGAAAUGGGUACUAUGUACUUUUUUUUAGGGCUUAUUUCUUUCUAGAUUUAAAGCUUCUAUAAGUUUUAGGUCUAUACAACUAUAAACAACUUAUCAAUCUUUGCAGCAUACUUGUUAUUGUACACUUCAAUUGGUUAGAUCAUUUAGGACGAAGGAUUACUUAAAAUAGCUUAAGGAUAUCCCUACUAAAGGUCUCAUAAAUUUUUCCGUAAUAAGUGGAUGUAUCAUUUCUUUUUUUUUAAUACUAAUUACACAUCAGAAUAUUGUAUUAUACAAAUAUUUACAAACUGAUAUUUACAAUCAGAUAUAUAACUGAGACUUACAUUAUUACAUUAAUUCUAUGAACUACAUGCUUAGACAUAUGACCCUCAUAUACGAAGGAUGUCUCUAUUUCACUCGCAUUUUACAAGGAAGAAAGACUUUACAAAUUAACUUCAUACAAUUUUUUACUUAAUUGAGGGAGGUUGAGCAUAUGAAGACUCGAACCACUAUCUUUAUAACUCUGCUUAACUUUGAGAGCAAUGAUUUACCACUAGGUCAAAACCCAAGUGGCUAAGUGGAUGUAUCAUUUUAAGACACGCGGAUGUACUGAUUUUUCUCCUUGUUCAUCAAUACAAUAUAAUAAUAAUAAUAAUAAUUUGUCCAUUGGUCUUUAAUUUGUAAUUCUCUAUUGUAAUAAAUUGUCCAUAAAUUAUUCCAAAAACACAUGGUAUAAAAUUAGUAUUAUACUUUUAUUAGUUGGAAAUGAAAAAGAAUUGAAAGUUAUGUCGUGCGUUUAAGUUUCAAUAAUAAAGAAAAGUUUGCAUGCAAUCAUAUCGCUGAAUUAAAGUAAAGGUCCCUUAUUUCCAUUAGGUCCCCUCACCUGCUUAUUGGUGUGGAUACAAGGAUGCGUACGUUGCAAUUAAUAAUGCUUAGAAAUAUAUAUAUAUAUAUAUAUCAUUAUUUUUUUGUCUUUACCCACGUAGGUUCAUUUAAAAUAAAUUAAUAUAUACCAACAAGUGUGUAGAUUAGCUGGUAUGAGGUUGUUCUGAUUUAACUAAAGUUAUCGGUUUGAGACUUAGGAAUACAGCUGCGUUAAAUACUCGUUAGGAGAACUUUGUUGUCCUAUUGGUCCUAUUCGUCUCGAAUUUGAAUUACUUGAGAAUCAAUGUAAUCUCCGAGGAUACCAGAUGUUUUAAUAAAAGAAAAAAACUAAUAUAUUAUAUGAAUAUCAUUGUACAGGUACCUCAUCUAUCAUUUAUUAUACAGCAAUACAACUGUAAUUUCUAUAAUCUAUGUUUCUCCAGUUUCUAAUUAAAACACACACACACACAUAUAUAUAGAUAUAGAUAUGUAUAUUAGCUAGCAUGCAUCAUAUUCAUAUAUCACGCUUCUUGAUUAUAUCAUCACCAGCUCAUUUUGUACUUUCCGAAUCUUGAAGAGUCAUAUCCUGCAGCCACAUAUAAAAUUAAGAGUUAGUUGAUAGAAUCAACAACAAAUUAAUAAAAAGCAGUAGCAUUGAGAUGAUCAUGAGAAGAUGCAUACUGGACAUAUUCAACGUUGAUUUUUGCAUCAACACGGGAGAUUGCUUGAAAAGCAUCAUUCGAGAGGACGAUAGUUGAAGGGCAGGGUGACUUUCGGCAAAAAUCCACAACCUUAACGUCAAUGGUGCUGCCCUUGCAUGGUUUGUUGUUACCGCUUAUGCAUCUCAUCCGGUAACGCCUUCCACAGGCUGCGCCGUUAUCCCACAAGCCUUCACCCACCGCGACAAACAAGUUCCCCGGUGGGAACUGGUCUUGUCUGUUGCCGUUGCAUCUCGUUGCUGCAUGCAGGAAAAAAAAAAAACAUUACUAUGAAGGUGCUUCAUCACGUGCGUGCAAAUUAAUUAAUAAUUAGCUGUAUGUAUAUACACAUGAUUCAUGUAUAUAUGUAUAUGAUUUUUACUCACGUAGGUAUGGUGGAUGAUAAGCGGUAGCAGUGCCAAUAUCCGCGAACACGAAGCUUAAUUCUGUGCUUAAUAAACUUAAUAUGAUUGUAAACACUAAGAGUACUGCCAUACAGUAAUUAACCAGUGUGCAAAAUGAGACACUUAAUAUUAAUUGGCUAGUUUAAUAUUGCUAGCUGUAUGACAUAAGCUAAUUGUCAGCUGCCCUAUUUAUAGAUAUGGAAGCGCGUCUCUUGAGUAUGAACGAAUUUAUUCAUGUUCGAUUUUAGUUAGCUUUUCGGCGUUGAUUGGCUUUUUCCAAAAGUGAAGAAGGUUCAUGUCUUAAGUUUGACAAUAAUAAAAAUCCCAAUUUUCUUCUAGAGGAAUGGUGUCAUGGAUUCUUGAUGAAGUGGGCCACUUUAAUUUGAAAAUUAAUAUUGAACCCCACCUCAAUUUCAUGAAGACAAAUUUUUUGAACAUAUUUGUCAUUAUUUCAAAAAUUGGGACAGCCUUAUUAUUAUCUCAGUUUUAAUUUAUUCUUGUCUCGAAUGAGAUUGUGGCGAACUCUCUAUCAUAACUCAUAGCAUUUAUCUCUUAAAUAAAAGUAAUGGUAUCACACGAGAAUGAUGAGCAACCAAACUUUAUAUUUUAAAAAGAAGAAUAAGCUCGCGAUCUAGGAAUCUGUCACGUGGUUUUGGUAACUUUUUUUCAUAUAAAAUUAAACUGCUAUUGGCAGCACAAUUUAGAAGUGGAAAAAGUAAACAGACCCAUUAACUGCACAAAAACAGUUCCCAAUUGGUGGAAUUUAUUUGUGGUAUUUCGGAGUGAGUGUUGCUAAGAAUGCAUAAUCUCAAAUGGCUGUAAAUAAAUAUUAGGUCGUACUUUUCCUUCAGAAGGUUGGGUUUCUGAUGAAAUAUUUGACAUGUUCAUGAACAAUUUUACAUGGAUCCCAUUUUCUCAAGGUUGGUAUCUAUCAAUAGAAAAAGCCAAUAGAAGAUUCAUAUACGUUCUUACUUCCAGAAAAGUCAAUCUAUCUGGAGUCUGACGUACAGCUUUCAAUCUAGAUAAAUCCAGAAGAGAUCAGCUUUCAAUCCUGUGUGACACUAGCUUUACAGCUUCCUACGGCGCAUAUAUUAAGCUAUUAGUUGUUUGAUAAAUCUUCAAGUAGUUAAACAAAAACAUAUGGCUAGUUUUCUUUCAAAGAUUUGACUUCUUCAAUUUAAUAAAUGGGAUUGAGUUGAGAUCUUGAGUGGGAUACGCUUAGCCGCAAGGUCACGAGGCUGAGAGGUGACAAUGGUUGAUAAAAAGGCAUUGCCUUUAUGAAGGCACGAUUAAUAAGAUUUAUCUCAAGUUAGUGCGUAAUCUAUGCUAUUGGGUUCUAGCACAGGAUUAAAUCUAUCAUCAAUUUGGCCGCAAUUUUAGCGGAUGGCAGCCACAGUCAAGGUUUGCUCCAAAAGAAGCCGCUCGGACUUUGGCUGCGUCCCCAUAUUAAAAUAUGGAGAUUUAAUUUUCUUUACGAAAUAUGAGUGGAACAAACGUUUCUUGAAUAUUAUUGAGGGUAAAAAUCUUUAUAAUACUUUAUAAAUUCAAUGUAAAUUAAUCCUAAUAAUUAUUUGAUUGUAAAUAUCAAUAGCUGUCUCAUAUAAUAUCAGUAGUAUUUUUAUUAUAAUAUCAAUGUAAAAAAAAUUAGGUUAAAAACAUGAGUUUACUCCAAUAGAUAAUUAAAUAAAAUCAUUAUUUUAAAAGUAGAUAUCAAAAUCUCUUACCAUUGGUGAAUUCUGCCAAUUUAAAUGAAAAACAAAGCAUUAUUGUACAUGGAUUUUGAGAUACAUAAUAGAAUAUUGAUCACCGUGAGCAUUACAAUACAUUAAAGACCAGUUUGGGAAUGUUAUAACUUCUAAAAUAAUUGUUGUUAGUUGUGCUGUAAAAAUAAUCAGUUGUGAAGAGAAUCAGUUAAGUGUUUGGUAAAUUUUGUUUUCAAAAGUACUAUGAGUUUUGAAAGCAGUUAUGAAAGUUUGGUAAAUUUUACUAUUAAACCGAUGAGAGAAAACAAAUGACUAAAAUGUACAUAAUGUAUGAUAAAAUUUACUUAUACAUAUAAAAACAUGUACAUAUAAUAUUUUUAAUUAUAUAUUAUAAUAAUUUUUACCAAAAAUAAAAAUUUAUAAUAUAUUGAUUUUAUUUUUUAUCUUAAAACAAUUGAUAAUUAAAUUUAUAAUAUAGUAAAACAAAUUUAAUAAUAAUUCGACCAACAAAUUGAUAUUAAUAAAUUUAUAUUGAUGAAUUAUUAUAAAAAUUUAUUAAAAUAUUGAUUUUGUUUCCAAUAAUUUUGGGUUUAGAUAAUAAUUUUAAAGAUGUUUAUGAAAUUGUAUUAAAGGAUAAAAUUGAUUUUCAAAAUCAUAUCUAAAAGUUACUACCUCUCUGCUUUUCAAAAUCAGCUGUAGGAGGGGUUGAUUUUGACAAAAGUGAUUUUGAUGAUUUUUUAUCAAAUACUAAAAUUAGCUUUUAGAUUUUCAAAAUCACUUUUAAGCCUCUAAAAAACAAUCGCAAACGGGUCCUAAACCCUUACUUUUCUUCAUCCAAAUAAAUGAAAUUCAUUACCAAAAAGCAGCUCAAAUGCACAUUUCUAAAAUGUUGAGAUCUAAGAGCAUCUCCAAAAGUCUAUUAAUUUUACUUUCAAAUAUAUAUUUGCUUACUUAUGUGGCAACAAAAGACAGUGAAAAAAUAUAUUAUUCUUCAAAAGGCUCUUCAAAUAUAAAUAAAUUAAUAUUACUUUAAUCAAAUAAAUACUUUUUCAAAGGAAAAAUAAAUGGUAAUUAAAGCAUUUAUCUCUCUCUCCUCUCUCUCUCUCUCUCUAAUAAAAUAUAAUAAAAUAUAAAUUGAUGAGGGAGAAAGCAAUUCUACAAAUUUGAAGAGAGAUAAUCAUUUCUUAUUUGAAGAUUUUUAAUUGGAGUGUUUUUUGAAACUUUAAAUACUGACAUGACUCUUUAAAUAAGCAAUAAAAUCUUAUUUGAAGAACUUUUAAGAGAUGCUUUAACUACAUUAUAGUAAGGAUGCAAUAGGGAAGGGAAGGGAGCAGACUGACAUCGCCGCAUCCAUUUAUGAUAUUCUACAUAUGUUCUCGUUCCCGUCAAAAUUGUUUGAGCUUUGAGGAGAGGGGAUGAGGAUCCCUAAAUAAUAACAAGAGAUUUUCAAGGGGUCCUGAAUUUCUGAAUAUUUGAGCCUUGAGGAGAGGGGAUGAGGAUUCCUAAAUAAUAACAAGGGAUUUUCGAGGGGUCCUGAAUCCCCAAAUAACUAAUAUGUUUUUAGUUUUCCAACUUAAUAUAAUCAUAUUAACCUAAAAAUGUAUAAAAUAAAAUGAGAAUGUUUAUGAAUGAGUCUUAUUUCAUUUUUACUCCAUCAAACUUUUGAUAUAUAUAAUAUAUAAAUAAUACUUUUCAAAACAAAAUUCAAAUAAUGUGAUUUUUUUUUAUAUAAUACUGACGCAAGUACUGUCCAUGAGCCACUUGGCCACCGAUUAUGGCACGACAAAUGCCCUGAGCGCAGCUGCUAACUGACGACACAACGAGCUGAGCUGCUUGGCCACAGAUGACGCGCAUUGCUAUUAGGCUAUGAUAAAAUAAGAACUACCUAGGCACUAGUUGUGGUGUGAAUAAUUUAGAAAAGAUGUGUGAGAAUGUAAAAAAUUAGCUUAGGAUUUGAUUUAUGGAUCGUGGGUUUACGGGCUUGGGGUUGUGUUAAGUCUUUGUACAAACGAAUAUUUAUAUUAUUUCAACAAAUAUUUUUAAAUUGGUUAUUUACACUAAUAUUUAAUAGUUUAUAAUUUAAAUUUUAUUAUUUAUUCACUAAUAAUUUAAAAAAAAAUUAAAAUUAAAAUAGGAAAAAUGGGGAAAUGAAGAGGGAAUGAGAAUUUCAUUUUAUCCAUGUCUCUUCCAUGAAUAAGAAAUUAAAUAAAAAAUUAUCAGUCUCCUCUUAAAAAAAAAUAAAAAUAAAAAUUAUCCCGCAUACCCUUUCAAAAUGAAAAUUCCCCAUGACUCCUAUCCUCGUGAAGAUUUCUGCCAUUCAUACAUUCAUUACAGCACACCUUCGAAGUCUUCCAGCAGCCACAAUGUAAUCAUUGUUGCAUCCCACCAGUGCAGCCGCACACGAACGCUUUACUUAAUGGCUUUACAUAUUAUUAUGCGCUGAGUGACAAAUAUAGGGAUCUUAGAAUUGGCCAGGAAUCAAUCAACUCAAAAAACGACACCUGACAUUGUACCAUGGGUAAGCGAUUAAACAAUCAGUUAACUAUAAGUAAAUCUUAUCAUAUAAUUAGUGGCAGAAUAUUUAUCCCAAAGGGUUUUCUGCCGUAUAAUCGAGGGAUCAUAUUCUUGUGAGAGAGACCCAGAUCUGCUUUUAUUAGUUGGUUUAGCACUUUAGACCAAAAUGUUAAAAAAAAAAAAGGUAGAUUCCCACAUUGUAAAGAACUUUCUAAGGGAAAAGAAAAAAUCAACUAAUAUUUUUCAACUGCUUAAAUCCAAAUUCUAGGCCUAGGACGAUCACACUGAUCUCAUCACACUGACCUCAUUUGGAAGCCGUAAGCCUCCGAACCUCUUCAGUAAAGAUGGUCAUGAUCUCAGCUCCAACUACAUGUGAUCCACACACAUGCAAAAAGAUCUGUUUGUCACUUGCACACAUGAUCUUCCAAGAAUAUGCAUAGUUUAAUCUAGAGCCAGUAUAAACAAAACUAAAGUGGAGAGAUGCUUCAUAAGGCAAUAUAGUCAUGUUGGUGAGAAAUGAAUCAAUGCAUUUUUAUUCGUGUUAUCAGAUCUCACAAAGACAAUUUCAGCAUAGAUACCCAUUAAGAAUGUAAAAUUGAUUUAUUUUAAUCUCAACAUAAUCUAAUGAAUAGAAGAUGAUAGAAAAAGAAUAUGCAUUCUUAUAUACCCAAUGUUGAAAGAAACCCUGUAGAUCAAAUGGUUUUGUUUCUCUCAACAAGUUAGAUAAUCUACAUAUUCUUGGUGCUGUUCCGGAAAUAAGGAUGAAGAGAAUGAACUCCUUCAAGGUAUAAAGGUGUCUGCAUUUCGAUCAAGCGAGAGACCUGCAUAGAUAGCCUUUCUCUUAGCAGAAUACAUGUAACUAUUAGAGGAACUACUUGAUCCAAAAGCUUAAGCUCGUAGGCAAGGGUUCAGUAUUUAAGACAAGUCUUAACAGUAGCAAUUUAUUGUCUUAUUUAAUAUCGAUUGUGAGCAAAAACCCAGUAAACAAAACAAGAGCAGAGAAAAAAUUCCAUUUGGUAUUGCUGACUAGCAGCUGUGGCUUUUAGUGUUUGGUAGACACUUGCAACUAUAGUUAAGGAGUUAAGAUGAAUGUACAGUUUGAUGAAAAACAUAUACUAUCCUUACAAUAUCUCAAAAAUUUUAACUGUUAAAGUGUUAUUUCCAAACAUUCAACUUUUAUUUCAUAACUAGAGCUUCUAUUUCACACCUGUGGCUACCUUAAUACCAAACAGAACUUAUGUCGACGUAGCCAUCAUUAAUAUCCACCACUAGUGUAGAGACAGUCACAAACCACUGAUCAAGAACAAUAUUUAUUUACGCUCACUUCAAAAAUCACUGGCCAAGCAAGCCACAUAACAUUGUUCAAGUCAUUGAAAGCCAAAUCUUCAAUAUCAGCUUAAAUAUGGAAACUUUUUUGUUUUUUGUUUUCCUUUUAUUUAUUCAUUUAUUUUUAAUUUAAAUAUAAAAGAGAAGAAGGGAGAGCCCCGACAAUCAAUUUGAGUGAUCGAAGAAAGAAAAAUCCCGCUCACCGCUCGACGGAAGGCAAACAAUUCUUCUUGGCCAGAUAGCAUGGAAACAAUACCAGCUGGUGCGCCCCCUGAACUCACUGUGCCUUCUGCUAGAACAUCCCGACGAAGUUUCCCACCUUCUAUCUCUGUUUCGAAUUGAAAACUGGUACAGACAAAGCCCAUGUCAGUCAUACAAAUACAAAGUCAAGAUCAAAAGAUUGUCAAUGAUGAAAAAUGGGCAGGGCCCCUAGUUAUGCAAAUGCUUGAUUGAGAUGUUCUGAAUGCAGUUCUAGAAAAGUGAAAAUAAAUUUUAAACAUUGCUAAACUGUCAGUCAGUCAUACAAUCGAAUUCCUUCAUUUUGAGCUCUGAGGUCACAUAGAGAUUACUAGAUUAUAGCCAGGGCUAUUCUAUUGAAGAUAUAAGUUUAUAAAAAAGAAUUCAUUUUAAAGCAACUUAUGAACAAGGUUUCUUAUGAUUGCAGCUCCAGGAAAACUUCCACAAAAAUGCUUAUUCACCUUUUUUUUUUUUUUUCUUUUUCUCUUUUUGGCAACCACCCAAGGGCUUGAGCCGCAAUUACUAUAUGAAAUUAAUAAUUGGGAGACUGGCUUAGAAAUGAAGCCAUCAGCAGAUUCAAGAACAAGUUUGGAAUAUUAAGAUCUCCUAGUAUCAACAUUCUCGAGGAAUCAUAAGCACUUACCUUUCCAAAUCAAAAAGUGUACCCUCUUCAGUUCCUUGAAAUAAAUCAUCAAUUGAAGAAGCUGCUGAGCAGAAUAGGCAGCAAUGGUGGUUGUAUAGCUCAUCAAUGAGGGUGAUAAACCUACGUGCCUGAAAAGUGAAGCAAAUUGAAAUGAGUGGGAUUAAAAAUUCAACAGUAGUGUACCAUAGUCAGUCAGCAUUGAAAUUUAAAAAUAAAGUUAUCAGGGCUUAAAAAUAGCUGGCUGCUUGUUAAGGAACCAAAUGCCAAUACCUAUACCAAUGGUAGCCCCAACCAACUAGUUCUGGAGUAUAGUUAAGUAUAUAUUUUAUGAUGCUCAUGAGGUACAGCAGCACAUGAAGACUCUUAAAGUAGAUGAGUUUCUAAGAGGACUGACAUUAUCUUGCAUAAGGAAUGAGUCUUAAGACUUUCUAAGUCUCUUGUUUUUCCCUCAACUCCAAUCAACAAAACAAUGUUUUUAUAGUGCAAUCACAUCGAUUGUGCACAUGAGUUCUUCAAGAACAAGAAACUAGUUCAAUGAAAUUUCAGUUUCCAGCGCCCCCCCCCCCCCNNNNNNNNNNNNNNNNNNNNNNNNUGCAAGAAUUAGAAAUGUAGCAAAAUGUACCUUGUCACGAAUUCGCAUACUCAUUACUGGGAUGUUAGUGAUGAAUACAGUGUGAUAAUUAUGUGCUACGGCAAUAUAGUCAGCUGCACCAACCUGCAGACAUUUGAGACAAAGUGACACAGAAUGUCCAUGUUUCAAAGAAAAGGAGUGCAAGCAACUGCAAGAUCCAGAAAACGAUCCCAAAUUUAAUUGAAUAGCCAUUUUAUGAAGUUUAUGAUGGAAGAGAAAGACAAAUUUUGAUAACUAAAACAACUCCAUAAACAAUGGUGAGAUUUUAUUAGAUUAUAGUUCAUUUAGGUAUCCAGACAUAAUCAAGAGAACCUUGUCAAAAUUUCAAUUGUCUUUUCUGGAGCCCAUCAGGCCAGUCCCAGUUUCGAGGGAAUGCUGUAUGGCAAGAUGCUAGUUUCCCAUCAGGAAUUCUAACAGAUAUGGAUCAGCAUUAUCUUUCUCAUUCACAAGAUCAACCAAACUCACUUUGUCUAGUAUCCUUUUAUUUUCACUUUUUUUUUUUUGUCAACCAGUGAUUUAUUAUUUUUAUCUUCAAUUUUAUUUCUCUAAAUUCUUGUCCUUUGCUUAUUCUAGUUUGGAGUACUGAUACAUCAAUAACAUCUACAAAUGACUGGAUAAAGAAAGUAAGUAUAGUAAUCAUAAGUUUCUUAAAACAUGGAGAGAAUAAGAACCAGGAGCUUCAGAUUUUUUGAAGUGAUGCAAUAAGGAUGCACAUUCAUGCACAAAAAUGCAUAGAAAGAGGCAACAAUUAAAUUUAUAAAUAUUUUUUUCAAAAAAAGGAAAACAUUGGAUAAAAGUGGAAUAUUUAUACAGAAAGGGCAAGUGCAAUACCGGACGACCACAUAGAUACUCAAAUGUGAAGCGUGCCACUCCAUUACAGCUUUGAGGAACUUCCAGUGUUCUAAUUUGGUAAAAAAGUAUUCUUUUAAUUUGCAAAUAGAAGACAUAUUUUAUUUGAAUGAUUAAAUUUCGAAAUUACCUCCCAAACAUUACAGGGAUGGUACUGGAUAUGAUUUUCCCUCCAAAAUGAUUUGUCACCUGACACCACAUUGCCUCAAGCUGCCUCACAGCAUUAUCAUCCAGGGGCCAGAAAUAGUGAACCUGCAUGCGCAUGCAAAUACAAUUUCAACCACUACAUACAUAUGCACAAACACAUAUAGGUUCAAGUGUGAUUGAUCCAACAAUUAAACAAGGAAUACAUAUAAUAAAAUGAUAAGGACAACGGAUAAGAGAUGUAUAUGAAUAUUUGCCACUCAAGAAAAGGUUUUCAAAUGAAGUUGGCAGAAAUUGCAUGAGCAAAAUGAAGAAAACAGCUCAGCAUAGAUGCAUUUGUGAAAUCUUUAAAGGAAUAUCAGGUGACAAUACAACGGAGAGAAAGUGGUUUAUUGAUAAAAGAAGCAACAAAGCAAAGUAACAUGUCACCUGGUCUAUAGAUCUCUGUGCGAUAAGCCGUCGGUAAUCAACCUCACUUCCAAUUGGAAUUAUCUCACAGUGCUUCUCCAAUUUUGCAACAAGCUUUUGAAAUAUCUCCCGCUGCAUGCCAUCCUGCAUAAGGAACAAUAAUAAAAACCAAACCAUUUUCAAUUGAUUCGUGGGAUGUUCAUCUGCAACUAUGUAAAUAAAUUUAGAAAUAUCUGCAAAUAACUAGGUGAUUCUACAAUACCCUCCAGGGAUGUCCCCAAAGAUGAUAAUUGGCCACAAGUGCCACCAGGCCUUACCCAGAAAGAUGCAAGUUAGAAGGAAUCUAGGAAGGGAGAAAAUUAGAAAUUUUCAUCAAGAAGAAGAUAUCAACUAAAAAGAACCUGAUUUAAAUCCCAUGGUGCUCGGUUACUGGUGGCCACAAGAACAGUUCCAGUACUCAAUAAUCUGCUCACAAUUCCAGACAAGGCCACAAUAGCAAAUACAUCAACAGUCUGUAACAGAAACCAAAAACUUUGGUAUUACAAUAGUUGCAAAUUCAAUGAGCCAAUUUUUGAGCAAUGGGGUCUAGCAUACGAUGAAGAACAAUUGUUGUACCACAGAAAGGGAAACUACAGAGAUUCAGGGGUAGAGGUGGGGAACAUAAAAUUAAAAUGGAACAAGGUGCAGCAAACUUCUUGGCCCCAUACACAUUUUAGUCUUUCUCUGAUUGGUAAUAUCACAUAUGAUAAAAAACUCAUGUCUUCUGUCUGAAUACAAGGAAAAUAGUGUACAACUUUAUGGGAUAUUAUUUUCCACUUAUUCAUCCUUUCCCAUUUCCCAAUUUUCUAAAACAAGAAUUCCCAAUGCCUCUUGCUUUCCAUAACAAAAUCAUACUAUUUUCCACUGGUUUUAGUACUGGAUAGAACGAAAAGCUGAUUACACAAAUUGUAAGAAUUUUAUUGGACCUCCUUCGAAUGCAUGCCCAAAUCAUUUUGAUGGUUGAAAAAUAAAUUGUCAGAAUAUGAUAUCCUAGGACUAAACUUAUGUCUUAUAGUAAAGCAGAUGAGCACCAAGAGUCAUCUUACCUGUAUCUCAUCAAAGCAAAGAAUGCUGGCCCCUCUUUGAUCUGCAUGUUGGUCUACAAGAAACUUAUCUGCUACAGCAGGAAGAAUGUUUUUCAUCUGUACUUCUUGCUUAUAUUUUUCUUCUGCAGCUACCCAUUCCAUAACUUUGGAAUCAAAGGGAAGAUUGGUAAUCCAACCAGAUAUACUUGACCGCAAAGAUUUUUCCUCCACUUGAUUUUUCCAUAACCUAUGCAUGUGUUCAUUAAUUUUCAACAUAGCCUGCAAAAACAUAUAUUUCAUAAAGUGGAAGCGAGUGCAAACUAAAAGCACAUACAGCAAAAGCCUGAGAUGUACUCAAGUCUCCGUAGGAAAGGGAAUCAUAAACAGGGGUUCGAAGUUCUCUUCCUUGCUCUCUAUAUAUUUGUACGUGUAAUUUAAAUACACAGAUGUGAUCGCAAAGAGUUGUCAAGUCAUCAGCAUAACACCAAAACAAAAGCUCACCUCAUGAAAAUGAAACCUCUGUCGAUGCUUAACAAUUCCUUCAGUGGCACCAUAAAACAUAUCCAUAAGCAUAGUCUUCCCUGUAUAAAACAAUUCAAUAGUUCAUUGUAUUCUUAUGAGCACACAAAUCCUAAGAUACCAACAAAGAAGUUCAAAAGCAACGAAACACCACAACUAUGACCUUAGUUACCCAAAAAGUGAUAGAAAUUCCAUGAUAUGGUAGGAUGUAAAUGGAUGGGGAACCAACUAACUGCUACAGAUGGAUGAAUAAUUAAAAGCUUAAAAGAUACGCAUAAAUUAGAUCUAGUAACACACCGCUUCCAACAUUGCCAUAUAAAUAAAGUCCUUUUGGAGCUGGAGGAGCAGUGGGACAGCGACCAACAAGUGAAUCCAACUUCCUUUCUCGAUUAAGGUAUGAAACCCAUCUACCCACACCUGGUUCUACAUUUUCAGGAUUUUUCCUGCGUCAAAAGACAACUAUUACGUUAUCCAAGAACAAAGCCAUCAACAAAACUGUUCUUAUGAUAAAUUUCUUUGGUGCUGCUAUAAUCAUCACCAGUAAAUAACGUGAUAUGUACCCAAAAAUUAGUUAAGUGCUAGGUGAAAAGAACAAAGAAACGCUAUAGUUAUCAUGAAUAAAUGCAAACACUUAGUCUAAAACAUGGUCAUAUUCAGGAUAUGGGACAAAUAUCAUGCCUCACCGAAACAUCCAUCUCUCUAUAAGUGUGUUUCGAUGCUUGUUUACUGAUGUCCACAAGUCCCCUUGCUGCUUUGACUCAGCUUCCCUUAUCAAUAGACUGCGCCUCUCAUUCUCACGAUUCUUCUCCCAAUUGGCUAAGUUCACCUGCCAAAAAAAAAAAAGAAAAAAGGAGAUGAUGCACAUGACCAAUCACUAGAACACCAACUCAAAUUCAUACUGCAUAAUCAGACUGUACAUGAUAUUCCUCCAUAUCUUUUUCAUACUGUUCCAAUCUCCCAAGCACAUUUUCUAAUGCCAAUGCAACCUUUUCCUGGUUAGGAUCAUGCUGCAACUUCCCUUGCUCAAUCAAUUUCCUGUACUGCAUCAACGGUCCUGAAGGAAAGAGAUUUUUAUGCUUUUACACCAUAUGUAACACAAAACAUAGAAUUUUAAAAAGCAAUCUCAUGUUUGCUGUUUGAUGAAAUUUCCAUUGAUCAAGAAAUUUCAUUCAAUUCCAUCAUCAAAUUUCCUCCAAUAAAAACUAAACUACUGACACCUAAUCAGUUUCACUCAUUUCAAAAUCGUAACGCUAUCAAGCGUACAAACGCAAAAUCUGAAUUUUCAAUCAAUGGUUAACGUAAUUAUUAGUGAGAGGAGAUACCUUACCUGGAGGCUUUGUGGAUGAAGGAGGAAAGUAAAAGCGAACCGCAUUUACGCAAAACUUGUCACUGUGAAUUCCUGUUUGUCUCGUAAACCGUAGAUGGAGAAGCGAAGCAAUUGAAGUUAUUUUUUUCAUUUUCAUUUCUCUAUUUUUUUUUCCCCCUAAUUUUCUCUGCGAAUGUGAUUGAAUUUUCUCAUUCGGGCUGUUGCAUAACUUGUACUUUAAUUACAGGGGGAGACGAGUCGUAGCUCGUAGUCGUAGGUAGCUUCGAGUGACGUGGCCGUUUCAGGAACGGGCAGGCGGGAAAGUUGGAGGUAUUUGUUGACGUGGAUACGCAAUUGACUGUUGGAUUGGAUGACAUGAACUCAUCUGUUAUGAUUCAUAAUAUCCGAGUUCCUCAACUUCUUAUUUUAUUAAUCUACUGUAAGGUUUUCGCUUCUUCUAACAAGAUGACGCCUAAUAAUAAAUAAAAGGCAUUCCAAUUAUUUUAGUACUGUUAGUCUUAAGAAUUUGACACAAAUGAACAAAUUAUGUUCUUGAGAAACCAUUGAUAACUUAAAGAGUGCUGAGGUAAUAUGUUAUUACUAUUAUUUAUUUCAUUUUGGUAAAGAAAAAAUAAUUUUGCUUAUGUAAUUUCUUUUUUUAACAGUAAUUUCUUUAUUAAUAUAUCUAGAAAAAUAUGAUUGAUAUUACAAUGCAUUGUUAUCAUAAAUAUUUUAUAGCUAUAUUAUGUUUUUAUGACAAAACUAAUUAUACCUUUAUGCCGAUGUUAAAAUUAUACGACAAAAUUAUUUUAUUAUACUAAUUCUGUAGAUUAUACGACUUGUCGAUUAGACCUUCAUAUUAAAGUACAGAUUUUACGAUGUGUCGGGUGAGUUUUAUUUAAACAACAAGAUGGUUUAUGUGUUAUAAGUGAUACAUUCGAGUGCCUUUUUAUAAUUUAUAAACCUACAAGGACAAUUUUGAUAAUUACCUAGCUAUCGAUUUCAAAAUUAAAUAAAUAAAAAUUGACGUGAAAGAGGUUUAACAACCGAGCGUGGUCGUUAACUCUUCUCUCGCACGCCAAUGCAAUAAUGACUGAUAAGUUGUGAGAGUACUGAGUUUGAACUUAGAGGCGCUGAAACCUGUAAAUGAAUAUCGCUCUGAAAGCAAAAUCCAGGCUACAGUGCAAAAUCCCAAUUCACGAUAGAGCAGCAGAGCAAAGCUGCUUAGCACUCCUCCAAUCCUGCAACAGCCUCCCUAAACUCGCCCAAAUCCACAGCCGCAUUCUCAAAUUGGGUCUCCUAAACAACCCACUAGUUCUGACCAAGUUCACUGCUACCUCCUCCGAUCUCAAUGCUAUAGAUUAUGCUACCUCUGUUAUAUUUUCACCGGAAUCCGAUACCCUUCUCUAUGAUACGUUCCUAUUCAAUACUAUAAUAAGAGCUUAUGCUCAGAUUAAUAAUUUGAAGACUAAUUCUAUUGAGUGUUACAAUCUGAUGCUUGAAUAUGGAGUUUCGCCCAAUAAAUUCACUUACCCAUUUGUUCUUAAGGCCUGUGCUGGCAUUGGUGACUUGAAUCUGGGCAAGUCUGUACAUGGUGCUGUGUUAAAGUUCCAGUUUGGUGAUGAUAUUCAUGUGCAAAACACUUUGGUUCACAUGUAUGGAAGUUGUGAAGGAGGGAUUGAGUUGGGUCGUAAGGUGUUCGAUGAAAUGUCUGAACGGGACUCUGUUUCAUGGAGUGCGAUGAUUGGUGGGUAUGCGCGUUUAGGUUUGUCUACUGAUGCUAUAGAUUUGUUUAGGCAAAUGCAGAUUUCUGGUGUUUGUCCAGACGAGAUUACUAUGGUUACGGUUUUGUCUGCUUGCACCGACUUGGGAGCACUUGAGGUUGGCAAGUGGGUUGAGUCUUUUAUUGAGAAACAGAUGGUUAAUAGAAGUGUGGGGCUGUGUAAUGCUUUAAUUGACAUGUUUGCUAAGUGUGGUGAUGUUGAUAAAGCUUUGAAGCUGUUCAGAAGCAUGAAUGGGAGAACUAUUGUUUCAUGGACUUCUGUGAUUGCUGGUCUGGCAAUGCACGGUCGUGGUUUAGAGGCUGUGGCUUUGUUUGAGGAAAUGUUAGAAGCUGGAGUGCCACCUGAUGAUGUUGCCUUUGUAGGAUUGCUCUCUGCUUGUAGUCAUUGUGGGUUAGUUGACAAAGGCAGAGAAUAUUUCGAUUCAAUGAAAAAUGAUUUUGGCAUUAUACCUAAAAUUGAACACUAUGGAUGCAUGGUGGACAUGUUAUGCAGGUCUGGACGGGUGAAAGAGGCACACGAGUUUAUUCAAAAGAUGCCCAUUGAGGCAAACCCUAUUAUUUGGCGAACACUGAUUAGUGCUUGUUGUGCCCGUGGUGAACUCAAGCUUGCAGAGAGCAUUACCAAACGGCUAAUUGGAAACGAACCUAUGCAUGAGUCCAACUAUGUACUGCUUUCCCACAUAUAUGCGAAAUUGUUACGUUGGGAGAAGAAAACCAAGAUAAGAGAGGUGAUGGAUAAAAGAGGGAUGAAGAAGAUACCAGGGAGCACUCUGAUUGAAUUAGAUAAUGAAAUCUAUGAAUUUGUGUGUGGAGAUAAGUCACAUCAUCAAUCGAAAGAAAUAUAUGAAAUGCUUGAUGAAAUGGGAAGAAAGAUGAAGAAGGCUGGAUAUGUUCCCACUACAUCAGAGGUGUUGUUGGACAUAAAUGAAGAAGAUAAGGAAGAUGCUUUAAAUAAGCAUAGCGAAAAGCUGGCAAUUGCUUUUGCCCUUUUGAAGACACCCCCUGGAACUCCUAUAAGAAUUGUGAAGAAUUUGCGAGUUUGUAACGACUGUCACUCUGCUACUAAAUUCAUCUCUAAGAUCUAUAAUCGAGAAAUAGUUGUGAGAGACCGGCACCGCUUUCACCAUUUCAAGGACGGGUCAUGUUCAUGCAGAGAUUUCUGGUGACACUAAUUUCAAAGUCAGGACUAUUGUUAUAUUUAUUGAAGCCAUAGUUGUCUGACCUAGGUAGAGAAUUGCAUGAAAGUUACAGAGGGUUCUCUCAUGCGACGAUCAUUCACCGGAAAACAUACCUGGCACAAUAUUUUGGUUAGGGCAGGAAUUUAGACCAUUUUGUUUGAAUUUUUUCCCCCGUUUCCAAUUGAGCUAGAUAUUCGAGAAAAUAUGGUGCACAAGAGAUCAUCUGAAAAUCAUCAAAGAUCGAGGCUCAAAAUUCUUCAUUCUAAAAUGGCUUGUUAAUUGUUAUGGGUAGUGCUUAAAGUCCACCCAAAUGGUGCUUUACGGUUAAGCGCGGUUUAAUUGGAAACAGAAUGUACACAUCAACAGUUAUGUUUGUCCAUUUUUACAAACCAAUAAAUCUGAAACAAUUUUUUAUUCACAUUUAGUGGAUAUAUGAUCUGGAAAUAAUCAUGAAACUGGACAGAGUUCACUACAUUUCUGAUGUGGACCUGGAGAACUGGAACUUGUCAAAUUUUCAUUAUGUGCAGCAAUUUCUAUUUUGGAUAGGUACAAUAAAUAGAUAUCGUUUAACCUUGACUGUAACUUCGCGUAAAAUCUUGCUAGAAUCAAAGGUUCAUGAUUGAAAACACCUGAAAAGGUCCAUGAUUAAUCUGACCGUACGGUAGUUGAUCAUUAUGGCUCUUUUGACAUAUACCUACACUGCUUAUAAGCUGGCUAGCUAAAUACUGUUUAACUCUCUCCAGGUUCUGCAAAUGAGCUUUGCGAAAGGGAGUUAAGAUUGGUCCUAGUAGAAUGUAUAUUUAGAAUGGAACAUUCUGGUGAUGUCGAUUACCCAAAAACUCUAUCCUCACAGUACUGUGCCACGUGCUCUAUGUCAAAAGCAAACUACAGGCAAAGCAUGUGCAGUUAUUUUGACUUGAUUAGGUGACAGUGGCCAGCUGGAAAGUUAUGCAAUUAUCGACCACCGUUUUCAUCCAGCAGCUGCUGAUUGGAAAACUCUCCCCUGCAUUUACCUGUUAAAUCUGAAAGCUUCAACUUGAAGCCCAAGCUUGAUCUUAAUCACUUUUGCGUUUCAAGUAGCAAUGCAGCAACUUGUGCCGAUGCAUUAGCUGAGUAUUAGAUUAUAGUUUAAUGGUCAUCAUAUCUCGUAACCUUAUCAUACCAAAUAAACUUUUGCAUUAUUUACAAACACCAUUACAGGUGAACUAAGAUUUCAUAUCCACCGUUCAGAAUAUUCUAUUGUGCCUACUCUUGUCAACUAGCAGCACCCACCUUGGACAAUGACGCGAGAGUCUCAUCGUAAUCUUGUGGGGUAUGAUUAAGAAAGAUGCUGAAUCUUUAAUUGUAGAAUUUGCUAAUGCUGUGACAUUUUAGUGAUGAAUUAUUAAGUUCUAUUACUGUUUUGCUUACUUGCUUUUAUCAUGUAGACCGUCAAGCAUUCAACAAGACAAUAGUAAGAGCUGAUCCCAAUUUUGUAGUCAAAGAUUACUUUUUUUUUUUUUUGAGUGACAAUGAUUUCUUCUUCUUUAAACUUUUUUACCAUGUCCACCAAUUACCAUUGCUACUACUGUUUCUUUUUAUAAGUAAAAAUAGAGAUAAAUAAAUUAGAAGAUGUGGCUAUAUCGUAUCAGAGUUGAUAAUAGAUUAUGAAUACAUAGUUGAGUUAGGUUACCGUCUGUCAAUAACUUUUCAGCAAUUGUUUCAUCUGAUAAACACUUAUAGCUGUCAGUCAAAAAAAAAAAAAACCGUCAACGAUAGUAAAUGACUUUUACUUUAAUAGUUUGGCAAAUAUUAAGUUAUAAUAAUUGUAACAUACAUUUCUUAUGUAAACCACAUAAAUUAUAAAUUUUAUAAUUUUAUGUAGUUCAUAUGAGAAAUGUAUGUUACAAUUAUUAUAACUCUGAGACUCCCUAAUAGUUUUACUAAAUAUCCAUGAAUCUUUUCUCGAUAACUAAAGCUUAUAUUUCAUGGUACGCGAUCGAUCAAUCAAUCAAUCACAUCUGUUUGUGUACUAAAAUCUUCUUCGACCUGUAAUCUCAUAGAGACACGCAUUGUCCAUACUAAAUUAUCUGAGACAUGUAACGUGCCGUGUAAUACAGGUUUAAUAAAGGAGCAGACAAUGUUUUAAGCUUUGUUGUCCAUUUCAGGCUUUUCAGCUGAUUAGCUGAUAAUGACAUUCGCUACCUGGCUGCUGAAGAUAUUGUACUUUUCUCUCAAUGUGUGUCAAUGCCUAACCGACUAGACACCAUAACUUGGCUUACAUCACCUCAGCUGUAGUGCCAAACCGUUCUCUAGAACGUUGUAAGGUUAUGAAAUUGAACACUCUUAAGACCCCUAGCUGAAAAUUAGGUUUCAUUUGAUAUUGUCGUGUUUACAGCUUUGAAGCCAUAAGUUACUAUAGAAUAGAAAAUUUAGUUAUCAAGUGAAAAUUUAAUACACUAGCAUGAAAUAUUUGUACUAAACUCGUUGCGCUGUGGAUGUACCUAAUACUUUCCUCCAUUUCUUUUUACUCAUUUGGAGCUCCCAAGUUGUGGCACGUUUCACAAGCUAUAAUCACACACAUAAUUAGCACAUGAGCUGCAGAAUUAUGUAACCAAAUGGGAAAGUUCCGAUGCACCGCAGUUUCAAGAAAACAAAUUCUUGCAGCGCAUUCGCAUUUCUGUAGUGGUUGGUGCAUUACUGUAGUGCUUGGAUUUGCUGUGCUCUUUGAAUCAACUCUUCACGUUAGCAAACUGGCCUACCACUUUAAAUUGCUCAAGUCACUGGACUUGUUUAUUACGAAUAUUGCUAGGUCAACAAUAAUACAAGUUUCUAGGUCUCCCUUAAAUUCAGAUCCUUUUACGCAUGCAUGCAUAUGACAUUCUUUAUUUAUUACUACGCAAUCACAUGCACGGUGCUUCUUCUUUAGCUACUAAACUCUUCUUAGUAUGAAUACACUUUUUGUUCCCUUCUAGAAUAUUCAACAGUAUGCUAAUUUCAACAUGUAUAUGUUACAGCAACCCUUCUGCACAAACUGCAGGUAAUAGAUAAACCAUCAUCUUCUCUAUUCACAGCAACUGGUUCACACUGCAAGCUCCACCUAACCUCAGACCUCAUGUACCGCCACAAAAGAUUUUACCAAUUGAACAACAAACAAGCGCAGCCAUGAGUAGUUCAAAUACUAAACCAACUUUUACGGUACAAAUCAAGAUAAUUUGGGCUCCCAAGCACACUCUUUGUGACCUUCACUAUACUUGUACUCUAUCCAUUUGAGGAGUUAAUGAUAUCCCGACUGCAAAACUUUAAUGAUAUCACAACUGGAAAACCAAGUUUAGCUUCUUCAAUCUAACAAUCAUGAAUGUAAAUUACAAGAGUUUAGAACUUGAUCAAACUGAUACUUUCAUUUGAAUGUGUAGGACCUUGCAUUUGAGUGAUCAGCAUAUGCAGUAAUGUUAUGGUUGAGAUGUCGAAGAAGCCAAAGAACCACUUGCACAUAGCAUUAUAUUUUCGGUUAAAAUUUGGCUAAUUAUAUGAACCAAUCGUUUGUCAAAGAACUUGGACUUACAUUGCUGUUUAAUAAUCUCCACACGGGAAUGGGUCACUGUUAUGCAAUUAUGCUCUCUGCAAAAAGAAAGUAUAAAGCUUUUUGUCCAUAUAACAGAACAAAACAAGUUACAAAAGAAACGAAGUAGUUUUUUGCCUUGUGUGGGGUAACAAAAGCUGCAAAGCCACUUAAAUAAAUGAAUGGUAUCUGUGGCUCACAGCUCUCACAACCGAUUUAAUCAAUCCUAACAUAAUUGGACCUAAUGACUAUUCGAGAUUUUCACUUUAUUUUUUUUAUUUUUGAUUUUUCUCUUUAGAUAUUACCUUCCUUUCCAAUGAUUCUUCAUCAACUAAAAUAAUAGCCUAACUUUCUUUUUGAAAUAUCUGAAAAAGAAGAAAAAAAGAAAUUAUAAAAAAGUAAAAGAAGUUGAUACAAGUGGUUAUAAAUCCUAUGUUACUAUGUGAUAAACCCAAUCCUUAUUAAUGCCAAACGAGAGGAGGGCUUAUCAGAAAAUGGUAGCGGAGGUCACUGUUAAGAGGAAUCACUUGCAUAAUUUUGUCUAUAAAAUCAGAAUCUAGCUACUUGGGUCUCAAGACAGCUCAGUUCGCUAAGCUUUCCUCUUAGCUGCGGUUCAAAGCUAUUUUCCUACUCAACUUUGGAGAUAUGGUUUGUCAAUUUCUUUAGCUUCUAAUAUAACUUAAUUAUUUCAUAGCCCUUUGUUGAUCAUUUGACAAAAGAGAAUGUUGCCUUGCAAUUCUAUGUGUUGAUUGCCAGGGUGAGAUGGUGAGUUGGACUGUUGCAGAUGCAGUAGAUUAUAAGGGGUUUCCUGCGGAUAGGUCCAAAACUGGCGGUUGGGUUCCUGCUGCUCUUAGCUUAGGUACGGCAUAUUUGCAUCUCUUUUGUUAUGCCAUCCAGCUUUAUCUUUUAUCAGAAAAUUAACUUUUAAGUUUCCUGUUGAAUGAUCUAGAUUUCAUUUACAUUUAUUGCGUACAAAGUUGGGAUCCCUGAAUGGUGCACAUAACAUAAGAUUUAUACUUCAUUUUGUAUUUACACCAGGAUAAAUAAACUAAGUUAAGUUACAGUAUUGCUGCUAUUAACAUGCGUCAACUUUUUGUUGAUCUCAUGGUUAUGUCAUCUUUUUGUUGAUCUCAUGGUUUUUGUGGCCGUAGUUGUCUAUUCCACAUGCGCUUAACUAUCUCUCGCGCAACAAUAUUCAUCUCUGACUGCAUUACUGACUGCAGCUGCUCCUGCAUCAUUUUGACAGCAUACUUAUUUUUAUUUAUUUAUUUUUUAUUUUUGGUUUCUUUGGUCUCGCUUUUCUGGCCUGUGGGUUAUGCAUGUGAAAAAUCAUUUUCUGAACUGGUAUGAGAAACCAAGUGUCUAUAUACAUAUGCAAAAUCAUUUGCAAUUACUAAAUCUUGAAAGCUUGUCCAGGAAUUGAAAUAUGCGAGAGGCUCUCAACAAUGGGAAUUGCAGUGAACCUUGUGACAUAUUUGGGUGGAACGAUGCAUCUUCCAAGUGCUACUUCUGCCAAUAUAGUCACAGACUUCAUGGGCACAUCCUUUUUGCUAUGCUUACUAGGCGGCUUCCUUGCUGACUCAUUUCUAGGCCGAUAUAGAACAAUUGCUAUAUUUGCCACAGUCCAAACUUUUGUAAGUAUUACAUAGUUCUAGCUUGCCGUUGAUCGAGUAGCUUUUUAUUUUAUUUUAUUUUAUUUUUCAUUUAAUCUUGCUCCUUGCAAAUAUGGCUGGUUUUUAGGGGACUGGCUUGUUAGCAAUAUCAACUAAACAGCCCCAGCUGCGCCCGCCUCCUUGCCAGGCUACUGAUAUAACCAAAUGCCAACAUGCUUCAGGAAUUCAAAUGGGAGUUCUCUAUAUUUCCUUGUAUCUAAUUGCAUUGGGGACUGGUGGCCUAAAAUCAAGUGUCUCAGGAUUUGGAACUGAUCAGUUUGAUGAGAAGGAUGAGAAGGAAAAGACGCAAAUGGCCUACUUCUUUAGCAGGUUCUUUUUUGUCAUUAGUACCGGGACUUUGAUGGCUGUCACAGUGCUCGUUUACAUUCAAGAUGAAGUUGGUCGAAGCUGGGGUUAUGGAAUAUGUUCCAUCUGCAUGUUUACGGCUAUCCUGAUAUUUUUAUCAGGAACUCGAAGAUACAGAUACAAGAAAUGCUCGGGCAGUCCCAUAGUCCACAUUUGCCAAGUUGUUGUGGCUGCCAGAAAGAAAAGGAAGGUUGAAUUACCUUCCAGUACUGCCUCCUUAUACGAGGAUUACCCCGAGGAAUCCAGAAUCCAGCGCACAUAUCAGUUCCGGUAAUAUAUACGUUGUUAUUAGAACUUUGCAGUCAUCUUUUGUUUCCUUACUAUUGCUAAGUUGUUAUCAAGAAUAUGUUUCUAUUCAGAAGUUUUUCAAGAUACAAAUCACUUGGCAAAUAACGCAGAAUUUUCAACUUUAAUAUAUUUUUUUUAACAUUAUAUCAUUUACUAAAUACUUGUCUCAUAAUUCUUUCCCUUUGUGACAAUGUUGUAGUUGCUUGGACAAGGCGUCGGUUGUGACAAAUACUGAUUACAGUGAAGAUGGUGCCUUCGUCAGCAAUCCUUGGACGCUUUGUCCGGUCACAAGGGUCGAGGAGGUGAAGAUGGUGAUUAGACUACUUCCUAUUUGGGCAACAACAAUCCUAUUUUGGUCAACAUAUGCACAGAUGAUCACAUUCUCGGUGGAACAAGCUACCACCAUGCAGAGAUCCAUAGGAAAUUUCAAAAUUCCAGCUGCUUCCCUCACCGUCUUCUUUGUAGCAGCCAUACUGAUCACUCUCGGAGCUUAUGAUCGGUUGAUUAUUCCACUUUUGAAAAAGAGGAAAGGCAAACCAGGUAAGAGAGCCAGCUCUCCAGCAGCCUCGUAAAAGUUUACACCAAUUCAUUGCAUAAACUAAUCCAUUCAUAUGUCACACAGGAUUUAGCAAUCUGCAAUUGAUAGCCAUAGGCCUCUUCUUGUCAGCAUUAGGAAUGGCAUCAGCGUCAGUAGUAGAGGUGAAACGUCUGGCAGUCGCGAAAGCUAAUGGCACAACAGGAACAACUUUACCCAUCUCAGUUUUCUAUUUGAUCCCACAAUUUUUCUUGGUGGGUUCUGGAGAAGGAUUUAUGUACACUGGGCAGCUAGAUUUCUUCAUCACUCAGUCACCUAAAGGAAUGAAAACAAUGAGCACCGGUCUGUUCCUCACAACACUCUCACUUGGGUUCUUUUUCAGCAGCCUUUUAGUUUCCAUUGUGAAGGCUGCAACUGGAAGCAAUGGUAAACAUGGUUGGGUAGGAGAGAAUAUAAACAAAGGGAGACUUGAUUGUUUCUAUGGGCUUUUAGCUGCAUUAAGCUUCAUUAAUUUUGGAUUGUUUCUGCUUUGUGCUUCAUGGUACAAGAGGAAAAAAGCUAAACAGGUUCCAGAAAUGGAGAUUAUAGUCAAAGGUUCUUCAGUUGAAGAGAAGCUCUAGCUUCUGAUACUCCAUGCACGCCAAAUUCAGGUUAAGGAGUGAUAUAUUGGUGUGAUUCUUCUCUUAUUGCAAUUUUCAUAAAUAAUGUAAAAUUAGAAGUGCGGAAAGAAAAUUACAUAGUACGGUAGUGUAAUUUUUAUUCAUAGCCUACCAUCGUAUUGUGAUAUCAAUUCUGUUCUUUUUUUUUUAUAAUUUAUUACUUUGCUCAUUGUAUUAUAGUAUGUGCCCAAGGGUUGAAGAAAAAAAGUUCAAAAUAAAAAAAGUGCCCAGGGUUUAAAAGAACUGACGGCUACUGAUUUUAAUGGCCCAUCAGAAAUAUUUCUUCCAAAUAAUCAAAUCUUGCAUUGAAGGAGAAACGUGAAGCGCCCCACUCGGAAAUGCCCAGCCCAACUUGGAGCAAUUGAACAAGUUCAAUCUUGGAGAUUUUCAUAUUACCUAAUGCUACAUGAAAGUUACAGCAAGACCAAUCGGAAAGAACCGAAGUGCAUCUCCACGGUCACUAUUGUCAUUAUCACCUCACACUGACCUCGCUAUUACAAAUGGAAAGCCACAUGGACACGGUUCACUCCCCAUAGAUGAAGUGGCUUCAUCAGAUGUUUUUUUGUGAAAUCAAUUGGACCACGGCAGUCUUAGUAUUUCAUCUACUACAUUGCAAGCCUUCAUUGUUCCUCUCAACAUAGAGGCAAUUGCAAAAGAAUUCGACAACCAAGAUUAGAUCUGUGUAGUUCGAUUGCUGAGGGCCCAUGUCCCUCUUAAGGGCAUCUGCAUCAUCGCCCAAGGUUCUGACAACAUCAAAAGCAUUUUGAGGAUGACAAUGAGGCUGGAUGAAUAGACCACCUACAUAGAAGCAUCCUGGUCCAGAGUAGGAAGGACUAAGGACCACUGAUAAAUCAUUAUAGUUUGGCUUCUUAGCUAAAAGUUCUGCAUGCUUUUAUUAUCAAAGAUAAAUAACAUUGUUAAAGAGUUUGACAAUCAAGAAAUUAAAUACAAAUACAAAGGUAUAAGGAUUUUGCUGAUGGUAAGCACGGGAGACGAGACCAGGAGAAGGAAUCCCAGGUCUCAUAAACAACAUUGGCAUCCUUUCAAUUUCUCUGCCGGCAGGGAUUCUUAACUAAAUCCAGGAUAAAUAAGAAUAACUUGAAAAUGACUACUUGAUUACAAUUACUGUAAAUUAGGGUUUCUCUAGUAUCACAACUUGGGAAGAAAAUGUUUCUUAUUGAAAAAAAAAAUGGGGAAGGAAACGCCAGCCGAGUACAUUUGGGGCUAAAAUCAAUUUUAGCUUGGGAGUAUAUCCUUUAUCGCUCUGUUUCAAGUAUCCUAAUAUAGCUUUGAGAUUGGGUUAAAGAAAGAUCAUAGUACAGAUAAGUUAGUGCUAAAAGCAAAUCAGCCAGCUGAUUAGCCGAGUAGGACAGCUGCACUAAGUGACAGGUUUGCGAGUGUCCUCAAUUGAAACCUCCCUAAUUCAGUCAGUCUGCUGAACCAACAAAUGUGAAGAAAUCUAAGUGAUAGUUCAUAAUUAGAAGAGCAUCUGAAUUAUACAUAAGCUCUGGAUCAGCUGGAUUAAGGAUAUUAUGGCACAAAGAGAAAUCAAAAUAAUGGUAAGAAACUAAGGACUGGCUGGACUAAACUGAGUGCAUGUUUGAUUGAACUAAGUUGGCAGCCUGGAUCGAUCUACUCUCAGUUUCCUUGCUAUGGCAAUAGCUAUAAAAUAAACAAUGCAGAUGUUCUCAAGGGUAAUGGAAUCUAGUUGGUGACCCUCUAGACAUCUAGGAUGCACAACAGCACUAAAAACAUACUCUGAAUCUGGCAUGCAUCUUUGUGGUGAAAUACAAAGAUUUCAACACAAUGUAGGAGAUGAAUCACUCCAGCAUAUAAGCCUAAUGAGGAUUGAUUAGAGCAAUAAAAUUUAGCUUUUAAAACUCAUCAAAUCAUAUAAAGAUUCACCAACAAAACAAAUACGCCUAAUUCAUAACCAUAGAAAAAAAUAACAAGAGAGAACAGAAACAUAAAUAUGAAUAAAUAAGCAUUAAAACUCCAUCAAUGAAAGAAGUAGCACCUACAAACACAUAAAUAGUUAAAAUGAAAGAGCAAGAAGACGACAAAAAGAUACAGGGUAUUUGAAACUCUCACUCAGUAACAUACAUGGAUUGGCACCUUAGCAACAAGACAUGAAUCUCAAAUCCCUAUAACUAUAAAGCAACGGGAAUAAUAACUAGCAUACGAAAUUGAAACUGAAACCUAAGAGCAGCAUAACAAACCCAAAAAAUGCAUCCAAUGAGCAGAAAGAAACCAAUGCCCUCAGUUUCUUUGCCCAAAAUCGAAACCCUUUUCUUCAUCAUCCACCUCUUGCAUACACUCUUAUUUUCAUCAUAGUUGAUUCUUUUGAAUGGAUUUCCUAAAUUAACCCUCAAUUAAUCCUGAGAUUCAUUCCUCUUGGUCGAUCCACCUCCUUCACCAUCCCUCUCCUCCAACAACUUCCCAGAUUCCUCAUCAGCCUGUUGAGCCUUCUUCUGCGCCUCCUUAGCCUUCAAUGCCUGCAAUUUCGAGUGAUUGUAAUACGCAACACCCAAAAAGGCAAGACCAUAUCCAAACAGAUUAAUGGGGGUGACAGUGUCCUUAAUCACGGACCACGAAAAGGCGAUCAACAACCAAUCCUUAACCACACCAGCCACAUUCAUAGUCAAAGCAGAGGUCUUCCCAACAAGCAAGAACACGGCAAGAUUCAAAGCAAAGGCACAAAGCGAAUUAGUUCCGAAGAUCACGAAAUCAAAAUGGAAACUCGACGUCUCCCUCAAAAUGGGCAACUCCACAAAGAUCCAAGGCACAAGCAAGAAAACCAAACAACAAGGGGCAACAUAAUACAAAGACGUAAUAGGAUUCAAAGUGAUCCCUUUAGAUGUAAGCAAGAUUUGAAUCAUUACCAACCUCGUCGCCUCAAAAGCGACGGCACCCAGUUGCAAGACGACUCCCCAGGAGUCAAAUUUGGCCUCCCCGUAAGCGGCAAUGGCGACGCCGACGGAGAUCGAGACCAUGUUACACAUAGUGUCACUCUUAAAGGACUCCUUUUUAAACAUGACCCCGAUAGAGUAGACGGCGACGGGCAUAAGGGCUUUGAGCAUUUGGAUAAAGGAGACGGAGAGGUAAAUGUAAGCGGAGUUGGAGAGCCAGAGGCUGAGGGAAUACAAAGCGCCGAUGGGGACGACGGAGGAGAAGUAGAGAUCGCGAGACAUGGUGACGGGUUCGACGAAUUUGAAGACUUUGAUGAGGAGGAAAGCGAGGGUGGCGCAAA